This 57-nucleotide transfer RNA is filed under the name Bacteroidetes bacterium RIFOXYB2_FULL_35_7. RNAcentral's name for it is "tRNA-Lys". It matches the Rfam family "tRNA", at positions 8 to 62 of the family's 71-position model. From Rfam's summary of the family: Transfer RNA (tRNA) molecules are approximately 80 nucleotides in length. Their secondary structure includes four short double-helical elements and three loops (D, anti-codon, and T loops). The record is from RNAcentral. Lineage: Bacteria; Pseudomonadati; Bacteroidota.
UAGCUCAGCUGGUAGAGCAUUACACUUUUAAUGUAGGGGUCCUGGGUUCGAAUCCCA